Molecule: long non-coding RNA, 578 nt
Organism: Carassius carassius (crucian carp)
Lineage: Eukaryota; Metazoa; Chordata; Actinopteri; Cypriniformes; Cyprinidae
Exons: 3
Source: RefSeq, a predicted model, not a curated record
ACAUAGUUAACAGUUUCAUUCGCUGUUGCUGUCAGCCAGUUGUGCUGGUGUCGACUAAAACUGGAUAUUAAAGUCUAAUUUCAUUAUUUAUAACGCGUUCCUGACACCUAAAGCAGUUUGAUAAAUUCGUCGUUAAUGAGGGCAGACUCAGAAAAGUCUUUCGUCUUUCAUGACUGUCGGUUAGUUUUGGGACUUUAUUCGUAAAGAAAAUGAAACGCUGUUUGUGUUUCAUCUUCAUUCAUUCCUGUCUGCUUUUGCCAUCGGACAGGAGAGCUGUCUCAUUCAGCUGAAGGAAAGACUUCAGUGACUUCAGAUUGAACAUGUCCAACUAUUCAACGUUACUGCCCAAAGCUGAACCCAUCGACCCAACUGAAGCGUCUGUGAACACUGUGCACACCUCAACAGAGAGCAAACGGCUGAUUUCUGUUUCGACAGGUGUUACUCCUAGUAAGCCAACAGCAGGUCCUCGGUUCCAUGCGGGUAGUUUCAUUGGCGGUAUGAUGCUGGCCUUUAUAAUCACACUGGUCAUCAGUCUGGGCUACAGAUUGGCUUGUUCACAACGGGAAGUGCGCUACAGA